Molecule: long non-coding RNA, 288 nt
Filed under: Fukomys damarensis (Damara mole-rat)
Lineage: Eukaryota; Metazoa; Chordata; Mammalia; Rodentia; Bathyergidae
Description: lncRNA (ENSFDAG00000027639.1)
Source: RNAcentral
UUCCAUUUGGAAAGAAAAUGGCUGAGAAGAGUACAGUUAUCUUUUUCACCUACUCCCAAGACACUUGAAUGAGAUACUCCUUCAAAAUUGAAAAAGAUGCUCCCUUCACACGGAAGAAGUCAGCCACCUGCUUUCAGCCAAAAUCCAAAAAUCUACAUAAACUGCAACUUAUGCAAGAAGUAAAGGGUCCAAGGUGCCUAUCUUCUGGCUGAGAUUUCCAACCCAAUGGCCCAUCUCUCCUCAGAUGCAAUCUUGGUAAACUGAGUUCUCUCUGUAAACCUGACUUCU